UUGCUACUAUUGCAACGCUAAAUGCUUGAAAAGCUAAAAAACUUAUUACUUAUUUACAUCAGAAUUGUUUAUUGCUGCUGCACUUGAACCGGCGACUUCUCAUUAGUUAGUCCGACGCUCAGACACCCAACUUAUACAGACUCUUGUCGUCACGUUUGCAAAGCUCACCUAUAUAACUGACUUGUUUUUGAUGUUUGUCAUAGAAUUCCGAUCCAAAAGAAAGCCUCUGUAAAAAAAUACUACAAUAUCAAACAAAAUAUUUUCUUAUUCAAACUAUAUAAGCAUACGUCACACAUUCAGCUUGCGCCCUGAAGCGAACUUAAAAUACGAACAGUCGCGAAUUGUCAAAGGCUUAAGAAGAGAGUAGGGCAAAUUUGGAAAUAACAAAGGAAGGAUUGAGGUGACGAGUGCUGUGCAAGGAUAAUCGCUAUUGUGGAGCUUGUUUACGUUUAGAUGAAGCCAAUUGUCAGAGAACAAAGCACUCUUAAGAACCAAAAGGAUUAGAGUAGAAACCAUGCCCGAUAGUUAUAUAACAUUUCGAAGGUUUCCAGCUGUCAAUGUGACAUUAUGUGGGUGCUCGACAGGAUAUUUGUUGGCCAUCGCCUGACAUUGAAAGCUUUAAAAUCGCAUAUGCUAAUGAGAGCAACAGCAGCUGAUGGUCUCAGCGGGCGACAGGAUAUAUUGGUUCAAGAAAUUUCUAUGAAAAAACAAGAUCUCAUCAUUUUUUAGUUGUCGAAAAAAUGCCAUAAUAAGGACACGCACGCUCCAAGCCAAAGUGACAGGAUCAGCGCCAGCGACAGCUGCUGGCGACAGCACAUGCCUUUCAACUAAAGCAGGAUACGCAUAUCCUGCGUUUAGCAUUAAAAAUUCGAGAUUUUUUCUAUUAAAAAAUCGUGUGUGCAGACGGCACGCGCUUGACCUUGACAUUGUUCCUAGGCACAGUCCUGGCUGACUCGCACUAAACUGGGACUGUACAUGUGCAGCCAACGCAGCGAACACAGCCGGCGGCUAGCGGAGGAGUCAAGCGUUAAUUGUAAGGACACGAACAGGGAUACGAGCACAUGUACGGGCACAGUCUACCUAGCAGCGUUCUUGCUCGCAUGCUGCUUACAUUUUUUUAUGUUGCUCAUCGCUUUACUUGUUUUUUGUUUAAACAGAAACCAAGGAUUCAUUAUCAUGUUGAGCAGCAUAGACAUAGAGUGCGGGUGCCAGUUGCUAUUCAAUCUGAUAGAUGUCUAGUUUUUAGCUGGUUCGACAUCACUUCGCCUAUAUUUUAUAUUAUACUUUUCUUUUCAAGUAAUCAAGGUCUUCAUUUGUUAUGCAGCUCAGGCUUGGCGGCACAUGCUGGUCAAUUUCAUGUUUUCAUGCACAGACAAAAAAUAAAUCAUUUUUUAAGAAUUUAUUCCCCAACUGCAAUCAUA
Molecule: non-coding RNA, 1421 nt
Organism: Drosophila virilis
Lineage: Eukaryota; Metazoa; Arthropoda; Insecta; Diptera; Drosophilidae
Source: RefSeq, a predicted model, not a curated record